Molecule: ribosomal RNA, 512 nt
Filed under: uncultured bacterium
Lineage: Bacteria
Description: partial 16S ribosomal RNA
Rfam family: Bacterial small subunit ribosomal RNA
Source: RNAcentral
AUUGAACGCUGGCGCCAUGCUUAACACAUGCAAGUCGAACGGCAGCAUGGGCUGUAGCAAUACGAAUUGAUGGCGGGUGGCGGAUGGGUGAGUAAAGCGUAAGGACUUGCCUUUGAGAGGGGGAAAACCCGGCGAAACUCGGGCUAAGACUGCAUGAAGUCGGAAGACCAAAUGGGGGGACCGGGAAAAAGGCCAUCAGCUCUGAGAGGGACUUACGUCGGAUUAGCUAGUUGGUUAGGUAACGGCUGACCGAGGCGACGAUCCGUAGCUGGUCUGAGAGGACGAUCAGCCACACUGGGACUGAGACACGGCCCAGACUCCUACGGGAGGCAGCAGUGGGGAAUUUUGGACAAUGGGGGCAACCCUGAUCCAGCGAUGCCGCGUGAGUGAAGAAGGCCUGCGGGUUGUAAAGCUCUUUCGGUGGGGAGGAAGGUUAUUGGUUUAAUAAACCAGUGAAUUGACGUUACCUACAAAAGAAGCACCGGCUAACUCUGUGCCAGCAGCCGCAGUAA